Molecule: ribosomal RNA, 253 nt
Filed under: uncultured bacterium
Lineage: Bacteria
Description: partial 16S ribosomal RNA
Rfam family: Bacterial small subunit ribosomal RNA
Source: RNAcentral
UACAGAGGUGGCAAGCGUUGUUCGGAAUUACUGGGCGUAAAGGGCGCGUAGGCGGUUCGAUAAGUCCCGUGUGAAAUCCCUCGGCUCAACUGAGGAACUGCACGGGAAACUGACGGGCUUGAGUUCGGGAGAGGGAAGCGGAAUUCCGGGUGUAGCGGUGAAAUGCGUAGAUACCCGGAGGAACACCGGUGGCGAAGGCGGCUUCCUGGACCGACACUGACGCUGAUGCGCGAAAGCUAGGGGAGCAAACGGG